Molecule: transfer RNA, 69 nt
Filed under: Sphaerodactylus townsendi
Lineage: Eukaryota; Metazoa; Chordata; Lepidosauria; Squamata; Sphaerodactylidae
Description: tRNA-Ala
Rfam family: tRNA
About the family: Transfer RNA (tRNA) molecules are approximately 80 nucleotides in length. Their secondary structure includes four short double-helical elements and three loops (D, anti-codon, and T loops). Further hydrogen bonds mediate the characteristic L-shaped molecular structure. tRNAs have two regions of fundamental functional importance: the anti-codon, which is responsible for specific mRNA codon recognition, and the 3' end, to which the tRNAs corresponding amino acid is attached (by aminoacyl-tRNA synthetases). tRNAs cope with the degeneracy of the genetic code in two manners: having more than one tRNA (with a specific anti-codon) for a particular amino acid; and 'wobble' base-pairing, i.e. permitting non-standard base-pairing at the 3rd anti-codon position.
Source: RNAcentral
GCUGUGGGUCAAUGGUGGAGCAUCUGCUUAGCAUGUAGAAGAUUCCAGGUUCAAACCCUGACAUCUCCA